RNAcentral lists this long non-coding RNA (491 nucleotides) under Zonotrichia albicollis (white-throated sparrow). RNAcentral's name for it is "lncRNA (ENSZALG00000001840.1)". Lineage: Eukaryota; Metazoa; Chordata; Aves; Passeriformes; Passerellidae. The record is from RNAcentral.
GGGAGCGGCUGCGCUGCGCGGCCGGCAGGUGGCAGCAGGCGGCGCGCGGCUCCUGGCGGGCGGCGGGCGGGAGCGAGGGGAGAGGAGGCUGAGCCCGAGCCCCGGAGCCGCCGGGAACCUGCUCGGGUCCUGCGGGGCUCCGGCAUUCCCGGCCGAGGGCGCACCGCCUCCCAUGCGCCGGGGGCCGCGCGGCUCUCAGCCCUCUCGCCCCCGAGAGCGCCUCGUCGCGGGGCGCCCGGACGGGACGCCGGCGCGGAGCGGAUUUGUGUGUGAUUGUCAUUGUGCUGUGCCACAGUGAAGAGGUAUUUUUCACUUCAAGAUACCUUGCAUUAAAAGAUCAUGGUAGACAGUUUAAUAGUUUCUUUGAGACUUCUCAGUUCCCUAGCAGUGCUGGGAUUUCAGCUUGUCAUCCCACAGCCUUCAAUUGAACACAGAAAGGUGCCGCAGAGGAUAGAGGAGCACGGCGAUGCCCCCGAGGACAGCGGCGGAGU